CCCUCCCCUCAUACAAAUAAUACAAACAGCCCACUAACAAACAUACACACAAUCCGCACAAACGUAACCCGCUAACAAUCCACAUACAUGCACACAACCCCACAUGCAAUACACCAAACAGCCCCCCCCACACUACCAAACACAUAAUGUGACUUAUCCAUCCACACACAAUUCCACAAGCAACCCCCAUACACAGCCCACAUUCAUACGUAUCAUACACGAUAUCAUAAACUACUAAUGAACAUAUAGAAUAUAAUCGCUCCUAUACACACAAAUACAAUUAUACAAAGCAAUCACAGUAAAAAUAACACAAGCAGAAUACGGCAGCAUACACACCUCAAUUUAAAAAAAAUAGGACCGGCACGCUACGGGACAUCACAAUCCUAUAUCGGCACAGUGCUGCUAAAAGGUUGCCUACCC
Pelobates cultripes (western spadefoot toad) is the source of this 420-nucleotide non-coding RNA. NCBI's taxonomy places the organism in Eukaryota, Metazoa, Chordata, Amphibia, Anura, Pelobatidae. The record is from the annotation of a GenBank genome assembly.